RNAcentral lists this ribosomal RNA (564 nucleotides) under Alternaria sp. S5H. Its description in RNAcentral is "eukaryotic LSU rRNA". The stretch from base 189 to 342 matches the Rfam family "5.8S ribosomal RNA". Lineage: Eukaryota; Fungi; Ascomycota; Dothideomycetes; Pleosporales; Pleosporaceae. The record is from RNAcentral.
UCAGUUGAAUCGAAUGACUUAGUAACGGAUCAGAGGAAGGCAGUGUGGAACGACUCGGGGUUGAUGCCUUAAUGAAGGAAUGCCCUUGCCGCGUGCCGCUUCUUGAGUCCUUGGGGGGUUCACCCACCACUAGGACUAACGUAAAGCUUUUGUAAUUGCAAUCAGCGUCAGUAACAAAUUAGGGUUACAACUUUCAACAACGGAUCUCUUGGUUCUGGCACCGAUGAAGAACGCGGGCAAAUGCAGAAAGUAGUGUGAAUUGCAGAAUUCAGUGAAUCAUCGAAUCUUUGAACGCACAUUGCGCCCUUUGGUAUUCCAAAGGGCAUGCCUGUUCGAGCGUCAUUUGUACCCUCAAGCUUUGCUUGGUGUUGGGCGUCUUGUCUCUAGCUUUGCUGGAGACUCGCCUUAAAGUAAUUGGCAGCCGGCCUACUGGUUUCCGAGCGACGCGCAAGACGCACUCUCCAUGGGCGAAGCCCCAACAUGCUUCAGCCCUUCUUUUUAUUUUUUGACCUCGGCCUCCGCAGGGUCACCCGCUGAACUUAAGCAUAUACUUAAGCGGAGGAA